UGGCGGCGUGCUUAACACAUGCAAGUCGAACGAGGAUCAGGGAGAGCUUGACUUGAACUGAUUCGAGUGGCGGACGGGUGAGUAACGCGUGAGCAACCUGUCUCACACAGGGGAAUAACGCAUCGAAAGAUGUGCUAAUACCGCAUAGGACCACGGGAGGUACAUCCUUACUGAAGGUGAAAGGAGUAAUCCGGUGUGAGGUGGGCUCGCGUACUGAUUAGAUAGUUUGGUGAGGUAACGGCCCACCAAGUCAACGAUUCAGUAGCCGACCUGAGAGGGUGAUCGGCCACAUUGGGACUGAGACACGGCCCAGACUCCUACGGGAGGCAGCAGUGGGGAAUAUUGGGCAAUGGGCGCAAAGCCUGACCCAGCAACGCCGCGUGAAGGAAGAAGGUUUUCGGAUCGUAAACUUCUGUCCUUGGUGAAGAGUCAGUUAGAACGGUAGCCAAGGAGGAAGCCCCGGCUAACUACGUGCCAGCCGCGGC
This 485-nucleotide ribosomal RNA is filed under the name uncultured bacterium. RNAcentral's name for it is "bacterial SSU rRNA". It matches the Rfam family "Bacterial small subunit ribosomal RNA", at positions 37 to 518 of the family's 1533-position model. The record is from RNAcentral.